Peromyscus maniculatus bairdii (prairie deer mouse) is the source of this 104-nucleotide small nuclear RNA. Lineage: Eukaryota; Metazoa; Chordata; Mammalia; Rodentia; Cricetidae. The record is from Ensembl.
CUGCAAUUUGGCAGCACAUACACUAAAAUUUAAUGAUUCAGGGAAGAUGAUCAUGGCCCAUGUGCAAGGAUGACACAUAAACUCAAGAAGUGCUCUAUAGUUUU